This 483-nucleotide ribosomal RNA is filed under the name uncultured bacterium. RNAcentral's name for it is "partial 16S ribosomal RNA". It matches the Rfam family "Bacterial small subunit ribosomal RNA", at positions 28 to 507 of the family's 1533-position model. The record is from RNAcentral.
GACGAACGCUGGCGGCGUGCCUAACACAUGCAAGUCGAGCGGGGAUUUAAGUGGAAGUUCUUCGGAAUGGAGAUUUAAAUUCUAGCGGCGGACGGGUGAGUAACGCGUGAACAAUCUGUCCCGGACAGGGGGAUAACACUUGGAAACAGGUGCUAAUACCGCAUAAGACCACGGCCUCGCAUGGGGCUGAGGUAAAAGGAGCAAUCCGGUUCGGGGUGAGUUCGCGUCCGAUUAGCUAGUUGGUGAGGUAACGGCCCACCAAGGCGACGAUCGGUAGCCGGCCUGAGAGGGUGAACGGCCACAUUGGAACUGAGAGACGGUCCAAACUCCUACGGGAGGCAGCAGUGGGGAAUAUUGGGAAAUGGGCGAAAGCCUGACCCAGCAACGCCGCGUGAGGGAAGAAGGUUUUCGGAUUGUAAACCUCUGUCCUAUGGGACGAAGGAAGUGACGGUACCAUAGGAGGAAGCCCCGGCUAACUACGUG